This 460-nucleotide ribosomal RNA is filed under the name uncultured bacterium. RNAcentral's name for it is "partial 16S ribosomal RNA". It matches the Rfam family "Bacterial small subunit ribosomal RNA", at positions 338 to 795 of the family's 1533-position model. The record is from RNAcentral.
CCUACGGUGUGCAGCAGUGAGGAAUAUUGGUCAAUGGGCGUAAGCCUGAACCAGCCAAGUCGCGUGCGGGAUGAAGGUUCUAUGGAUCGUAAACCUCUUUUAUAUGGGAAUAAAGUGCGGGACGUGUCCCGUUUGUUAUGUAUCUUAUGAAUAAGGAUCGGCUAACUUCGUGCCAGCAGCCGCGGUAAUACGGAGGAUCCGAGCGUUAUCCGGGUUUAUUGGGUGUAUAGGGUGCGUAGGCGGCCUUUUAAGUCAGCGGUGAAAGUCUGUGGCUCAACCCUAGAAUUGCCGUUGAAACUGGGAGGCUUGAGUAUGUUUGAGGCAGGCGGAAUGCGUGGUGUAGCGGUGAAAUGCUUAGAUAUCACGAAGAACCCCGAUUGCGAAGGCAGCCUGCCAAGCCAUGACUGACGCUGAUGCACGAAAGCGUGGGGAUCAAACAGGAUUAGAUACCCGAGUAGUC